Molecule: ribosomal RNA, 253 nt
Filed under: uncultured bacterium
Lineage: Bacteria
Description: partial 16S ribosomal RNA
Rfam family: Bacterial small subunit ribosomal RNA
Source: RNAcentral
UACAGUGGGGGCAAGCGUUGUUCGGAAUUACUGGGCGUAAAGGGCGCGUAGGCGGCCUUCUAAGUCGAACGUGAAAUCCCCGGGCUCAACCCGGGAACUGCGUCCGAGACUGGAAGGCUUGAAUCCGGGAGAGGGAUGUGGAAUUCCAGGUGUAGCGGUGAAAUGCGUAGAUAUCUGGAGGAACAUCGGUGGCGAAGGCGGCAUCCUGGACCGGUAUUGACGCUGAGGCGCGAAAGCCAGGGGAGCAAACGGG